UGGAAAUGCAAAUCCUAGGGCUCCACCCGGGAAUACUGACUCCAAAACUCUGGGCGUGGAAUCCAGGAAUCUGCAUUUUAACAAAACCACAAUGUGUUCCUGAUGCACCGUGAA
RNAcentral lists this microRNA precursor (114 nucleotides) under Choloepus hoffmanni (Hoffmann's two-fingered sloth). RNAcentral's name for it is "miRNA (ENSCHOG00000014471.1)". The record is from RNAcentral. Lineage: Eukaryota; Metazoa; Chordata; Mammalia; Pilosa; Megalonychidae.